This 196-nucleotide ribosomal RNA is filed under the name uncultured Trichococcus sp. RNAcentral's name for it is "partial 16S ribosomal RNA". It matches the Rfam family "Bacterial small subunit ribosomal RNA", at positions 337 to 525 of the family's 1533-position model. Lineage: Bacteria; Bacillati; Bacillota; Bacilli; Lactobacillales; Carnobacteriaceae. The record is from RNAcentral.
UCCUACGGGAGGCAGCAGUAGGGAAUCUUCCGCAAUGGACGAAAGUCUGACGGAGCAACGCCGCGUGAGUGAAGAAGGUUUUCGGAUCGUAAAACUCUGUUGUCAGAGAAGAACAAGUCGGAGAGUAACUGCUCCGGCCUUGACGGUAUCUGACCAGAAAGCCACGGCUAACUACGUGCCAGCAGCCGCGGUAAUA